RNAcentral lists this long non-coding RNA (479 nucleotides) under Arabidopsis lyrata. RNAcentral describes it as "long non-coding RNA (ALYR_LNC001885)". Lineage: Eukaryota; Viridiplantae; Streptophyta; Magnoliopsida; Brassicales; Brassicaceae. The record is from RNAcentral.
UUGAUGUGUUGCGUUUUUAACGGUUUCGAGUCUUGAUUUAGUCCGUGUUUUGAGUCAUUUAUCGUGUCAAAGUCUGUCUUUUGCGUCUUUUCGAUUGUGUCUUGAGUCCUUUGCAGGUUAUAGGUGCUCGAGCUGGAUUCGGAGCAUCUUGUGCGUGAUUGAGCCUAUUUGGAGCUAAAACAAUGGAGAAACGGUACAAGAGAUCACCAGGAGCUGGGGAUCGAUCGAUCCAACCCUCAUCCGUCAAGACGUGUUCAUUCCAGCAGCUCGGGAUCGAUCGAUCCCAGGUGGAGAUCGAUCGAUCCACCCUUUUCGACGACCAGACCGGUUUUCCUUAACCGGGUUUAUUUGCCUUUUUCUGUACUUGGGUAUAAAAACCCAGAGAAACCUAUUUUUUUCUCGACACGUUCUUUUUUUCUGCAACUUUUGAGACUUCUUUUUGUAAGCUUUUUGGGAUUCUAGAGAUUCAUCCUCUUUGA